RNAcentral lists this long non-coding RNA (19067 nucleotides) under Phoenix dactylifera (date palm). Its description in RNAcentral is "long non-coding RNA (PDAC_LNC001453)". The record is from RNAcentral. Lineage: Eukaryota; Viridiplantae; Streptophyta; Magnoliopsida; Arecales; Arecaceae.
AUGAAGACGCUCUUCCAGCAAUUUGAGGGCAAGACAAACAAACAUACUGUGUGCAUUUUGUCUAGCUGUACCUUCUCGGAAAGCCUUUUCUACCUGGAAGAAUCUUAAAAUUAGUUUCAGGAUAUUGUAACAUGCAUGAUAUGAAACGAAAAAUUAUAAAGUUGAGAUCAUGUUUGCUCCUGUUUUACUUUGUCCUUUUAUUAUUUUCCGAAUGUAUAAUUUAUACUCCUAAGAUUUAUGUACAUGUGGUAACAACAGCAAGAGCGAAGGCAGAAUGCUGCUGCCUCAAUCAGCCAACACAAAUUUUCAAGGGGCUCAUAAAGCUAAAGAGAUAUAACACAUCAACCUUAUAAUCAACAAGAUCAAAUCUACAAAUAUAAAUAAUGGACAGUAACUGAUCAGUGUGCAACUUACAUCAUGGCUAUAGUCCUGAUUCACAUUAUAAAAAUAAGAAAGCAUAAAAAUCCGUAUAUUUAAGUCAUUGCUCGAUCCUUGCUCGCUCACCAUUUUUUGCUAUCCUACUGGUUCUCCUAAGUCAGAAUACAAUCUCAUUGGAUUUGGACAUUAAGAGAAUGGCCGGGAAUAAAUAAUAGCUCCUUGCCUGCUUGAAGACUCCAUGGUCACAACUUUUUGCACUUAAGUUUCCUAUCUGAUAUUGAAGGAGAAAAUGAUUAUGACGUCCCAUAAAAUUUAAGGUUAACUUACAAAUGUUUUGGUUGUUAAACUCCUUGAAAAGUUCGUCUGUUGUAUGAUAUGCAGUAUAUAAGGAAUGAGUAAAUUAGUAACUUCAAUACCAGUAUUAUAUCUCACAUUUGAUAAUAGUGCAAGUCACAAGGAUUCUGCUUAAUCCUUAGCCCAAACAGAUAUUAUUUUUGCCCCUUCACCACUAUCAUCAACUCCUUAAUGCUUGUUUUAAAGUUUGUACAAAUGCAUGAUGUAUUUCUCCAUUUUAAUUGAUGUAUUAUUCAUUUUAAGUCUUCAACUUGACAGACAAAAAAAUUACUGGCAGAGAAAGCCACCAUCUUCCACAACAAUCAAAAGAAUAAAGGUCAGGCCAGGUUACCAAAAGAACUGCCAUCAAAAUUCAAGUUUACACUUUCAGACAAAAGGAAACCAACAAGGUUAAAUGUGUUCGCUGCUUGUCCUAGAUUGCAUAUAAUUAUUCCACUUAAGAUUUGAGACAAUGUUGUGAAGCUUUGCUCCCUGAAAGGAUCAAAGUAGCCAUGUUAUAUCAUCUGUUAUAGUUCCAGCUGGCUUUUUUACAUGUCUCCUUAUUCCUCUACUCCACAUUCCUUGCACCAUUUCCUUGAUAAAACCUAGCUGAAGCCCUUAGAAAUCUAAAUCGGAAUAAAGUUGCCUAGAAAAGAUCCGUUCAAACCUACCAAUCGCAGGAAGUGAAUAAAUAAUGCUUGCCACAUCAUAGUAAAAUGGAAGGAGGUUAGCCAAAUAUAAUUUCCAUCAUACAUCAAUGGUAUUGUACAAUGAAGGGAUUUAAGCAGGGUGCAUUAUUGAGGUCAUCACUAUGGAAACACAUCCAUCAGCAUAUGUUGAUUUAAGCAUGAUCCAAGUCUAUCAACAUAACAUCGGAUCCAUUCAUGCAUAACAUUAACCAAUGAACCUCAAUCCAUACAUGUAGGUUGGCAGUAAAAGUUAAGGGUAUAAUAUGCCAAAGUUUUUGAAAACUUCGCAAUCAGUUCAAAAGAGCCACAUUUACAUCAGAAAGUUAUUCAUCAUGUAUCUGAUCACUGUGCAACUGCAUGUAGGUCAGCACACUGACCUAUUUACCAUAAGGGUUAGGUAGCCAGUAUUAUCUAAUCUAGACAACUAUAACAGCGAUGUCAUGCAUCCACAAGUCAAAAUGUGUCUUAUUUUCGGAAAUUGUGUAGCUAGUUGUCAAGCCGAUAACAGUAUAAACUAUAAAGUCUGUAAGAUGAUGCAGUGAAUGCAUAGAACAUGCUAUUGCUAUAAAAUAACAAAAAUAAUAAUUACAAAGUAGAACAGGCAUCUGUAUAUUCAAAAUCUGGUUUAAAAGCAAUUUAUCGUUAAUCUUAACAAAAAAUAACCUACAUAAUCAGUUCUUUGUCAUGAUGUUCUGCUCUUGAAAAGUCUAAGCCCUCAACACAAGUCAAGGUCUGACACCUUUCUUUGGCCACACAACACCAAGAGAUGUUGGAGGAACUUUUAUAAAUGUUUGGGCUAGAAUAUCAGGGAUUGACAAAGUGGAGAACAGGAGUUGGGGAAGAAAAAGACAUUUUAUUGAUUCUCCAAUCAGCAUAUUCAAAUCCAUGACAAAUUCUUGCUUUGCAGAGAACUCAAUGCAGUAGACUGAUGGGAGAGUCUAAAUUAGAUAUUCAAGCUGUACCCUAUUUUGCUUCAUGAAGAGGCUAGAAUAUUUUAACAGAGUAUUAUUGUAACACUACUCAUAUAAUUGUCCAACCGGCAAUAGUUUGCUGUUCACAAAGUUUCUCCAACUUACACCACUGAGAUGCCAGUACCAGUCCCAGUCCCAGUCCCAGAUGAAAAAGGUGGCAGGAUGAUGUUAAGGUGACAGUCACAAAAAAUAUGUCAAACUAUGAAAUGGAUCCAAAUUCGAUACACAGCGAACCCCUAAGAGAUGGGAUGAGAAGGUUGAUGGCUAUGACAAUGAAUAGUUUCUUCAUUCAGGCAUAUCAAAAACAGCCUCAUAACAAUAUUUUUGCCAGAUUACAUACAAAAUACAAGGUUACUGUGAUGGUAAAAGUAAAAUUUUCUGAACCUGCAAAAUAUUUAUAAGUGGGAGAAUAAUGUAACAUGUAGAGAGAAGAACAAGCUGGUGUGCUCAAGAUACCUGUUCUUUGAAUAUUACUGCUGCAGCAUCUAGAAGGAAUUCUCGUGCAAGCUCAGGACUCUUCGCAUGCUUCUGCGGACGGAUUUCAUCAUCAUUAGGUUCAUUUCCAUCCUUGUCCAUAGCAUCAUCAUCCUGCUCUAGCAAAUCAACAAAAGUUAGAUUUGAAAAAUUACACAUUUUCACAUAAAAGUCCACUGGUAAUAUUAAUGAAAAUUCUGCUAUACUAUAAGUAGCAGUCCUCAUUUGCAAGUACCUCUUCUUCCUCAACUUCUUCAGCAUGCUCAAAAAACCUUCUGAUACUUUCCCCUUUAGUUAUUGUUACAAAUCCAUCCCCUACUAUUAGCCUGCGAUGGAUGCAUGGUUGUCCCUUCAAUGCAUGUGCCUUUACACAGAGCUCAGUGCAACAGCCAUCAACCUUCCAAGCCCUCAGUGUAAUAAAGCAUGCACUCAAACUACCAAGAUCAAGUCCAUUCACCUGCACCUUUUCAUUAAUCCCAACAUCUUUGAAGUCUAAAAUGUCUGAUUUUCCUUCUCCUGUUCCAAUUGCCCAUUCAAAAUGAUGAUAUGUUCCAAUCAUGUCCACAAAUGACUUGUGCCAAUCAGCUUGGACAGUGUCCUCUGAUACCUGAAAGUGAUAUAACAAGAAGUCCAGGUCAUCUGGCGGCCCAUCGAGGAAAAGUUUUUCUUUUUGCAAUUCUCAUCAUGCUUCUGUAGAAUAAAUCAUUUAUCUCUUGAAUAACUGCCGGUUAAAUUGUUAAAGUUGAUGGAUAGGCCAGCAAAAUUUAGGCAUGCAUCUUUGACAACACUGGCAAAUGCAAACCUCAUAUUGGAAAGCUGUAUCUGCAACACAAAACCAACUAGUACAGCGGGGUUCCCUUCGCAUGCGCUUUAGUUCCUUCAACUCUUUGAAUUCACGGAUGACAUUUCUUCGGCAAUCUCUGCAAAACCUCUUGCUGUCAAACCUGUGAAAAGAAAAUUGGACUCACAGAAAUGUAACUCAUUCUAACUAUUAUGUAAGUCAUAAAAACUGAAACAAUAGACCAACCAUGCCAGCUAAGAGAAUAUUAACUGGCAGUAAGAGACUAUGAACCAUCUCAAGACUUAACAUCUAGAACCGAAUAUCUUGAUCCGAGCUUCAUCAUUGUUAGUUUUCAAAACAUCCAAUAUAAAUAAUUUUUAUCAUGAAGACAUCCAGAAUGUGCAUCUAAUGUCAAAGAAAUUGAUCCUCCUAUCUACAUUAACAAGGGAAUAAAACAAGUGAUACCGAAUUGUUCCUCCUAUCUAGACUAACAAGGGAAUAUAACCAAGUGAUACCCCAUUGAUUCUCAUAGGUAGGUCAACUUAUAAAUCUGCCAGCAUGGGUUGCAAGCCAAAAAGUUUCUGGUGUUCAUCCUAAAUUCAACAGUCCAACUUCUUCAGCAAACUCAAUAGGAUAAGUAAGAUAGAGUAAAAUAGUACGAAUGAAAGAUAAUAUGAUAAGUUGGUCAAGAAGAAAAUUAGACAGCAGCAACCAACUAUAGCGAGUCUAAUCUCUUGAUCUUGGCAAUACACUGAUACUGAAAUAAGAUAUAAUUCCUGAAGAAGAAUAUAAAGUAAUAAAGAACUUGGAUUAGCACCAACGUGAGACAACUUGAAACUGAUGCUUCAUAUACAUCUUCUACUUUUGCAUAUCUUGUAUUGUGGAUUUCAAUAAUCCAAAGUUGUAAGGAAUCAGGCUAUACAAGCAGAAACUACAUAUUGCAGCUUCUCUUAGGAAGGAAGCCAAGAAGCUUGUUCUUUCACAACUUCAAUUGACAAACUCAAGGAGACAAUAAAUUUUGAAUUAUGGAUGAACAAACUACGGCCAGUUUCUUGCUAUGUUCACUCUCGAUUAGUCUUUAAGGAGAGGUUAGUAGACAUCUUUGGAUAAAAGAAUAUGGAUGAUGAUGUAAGUUCAUGAAGGAAACACAACUACCAUCCGCAUAGCUUAGAACAUGUCAAAGUUUACCAGCUUUUCUUGACAAAGAAAUACUCCAAAUAUAAUAAAAUGAGAACCAUUUAGUGCACAAUAUAGUAAUGCAUGCUUCAACAAAUUAUUUGAACUUACGUUUCCAAUCCUCUACAUGGAAGAUCUUAGAAGGGGGGAAAACCAAUCUUAGAAUUGAUGUGAAAUUUAUGCAGUCAAGGAAUGAGGGCAAAAAAAUGUUGCAUACAGAUUCUAAAGGAUAAUGUUGAUUUAGGAGAUGUUAGGAAUUUAUAAACCCAACCAAACUCAUAAGAGAUCAUAUUGAAUUAGGAGAUUUGCUUGUGGCAGGUUCUACCAAAUUAGGCACAAAUCCACCAUUGGCUUCAAUCCAAGUUUUAUUGUAGCUACACAGGACAGUGCUUGUUAUACAGGAACCACAAUGGUACCUUCAACCAAUCACAUUUCCAGUGACUUAAAACCAUUGAGAAGUAGGAAAUGGUAUAGCUUAUCUUAUAUUAUUGCCGAUGGAAGAAGAUCUACCUAUGGGUAGCUCAUCUAUUUUCUCUUUGUACUCAAUUCAAACUUACACCUUUUGUAUUUGCCUACUUCCAGAUUUUGUUGUCAUCUAAGGAUUGGAAAUAAUUUGGUCUUUUAGUUACGACAACAGUUAUUAUCAGUGCUUGUAUAUGAUCUGAUGUAAGAUCAACUGAAGUUCCACUAACUCUGAUGAUUAAAAAAUUUGGUUUUUUAAGCAAGUAAUCAUUUUUGUGAUGUGAAAAAAUUCACACUAUCAAUCGCAUUAUGUAGCUCUGUUCAGAAAAUGACAUUGACAGAGUUGAGAAAACUACGGUACUUGGAAAACAAAAUGAUGGAAAAAAUGUUGAAAACAACAGCCAAGCUUUGAAGUUCCUAGUUAUAUGUAUCAGCACAAACAUAGCAAGUAGCAGCGAUGGACUCAAAGGGACCACGGAUCCAAACAAUUUGAUAGUAACAGGCAUGAAGGCACCGCAGCUCCUCUCGUUCAGAAUAAAUCGUCUCAAUAUCAUUGUCUUUGAAUGUCAGAGGUUCAACAAGUAAUAACCACAUAAAUUUGAUUUGAUGAGAGCAGUUUAGAAGGUAAUCUCAAAGAUGUUAUAAUUGUCUGGUCUGUACAUCAACUAUUUCAAUUUGCUGCUGCCUUCGGUUGACUUGAUUGUCAGUUCUAACAAGAAGGUUCUCUCAAAAUGACAACAGUACUUUAUUAGAAUACAUGCGCCUAUAUUCACUGUAUCCAUUUCUCAUUGCUCUGCGAACCUCAGACAGCUCAAAAAUUAUUACUACGACAAUGUGUCUGAGACAACAGUCCUGAGUUUGAAAUUAAUAAAUUGUAAACAUUUGCUAUAAACAUUCUUAAUAUAAAAUUUGCUGUGACAAUAUUCCAAAGUGCCUGUAUGCUUGCACCGUCAGUAGCCGCGCCAACCCCAAAUUCAUAGAAUGCAGUCCUUUAUGUUUGACAUUCUACGAUAAAGUUUGUGCAGCAUAGAAGACCCACAGCCCAUCUAGUAUGACAAAGAGCACUGAGGAUCAAGGAUAUCUAAGACUUAUUGUUCAACUGGCAUAGGCCCAAUUUUUGACAUGAACAAAGGGAAUUAUGUGACUGAAUAGUUGAUUUACUUCCAAACAUUCAAAGAUGUCAAGACAGAAUAUCUGAUCUAAGUGUUCUAAGGAACAAGGACAACUAAGACUUAUUGUUCAACAAUUUACAUUACGAAAUGACAUUAGACACAAGUUUUAUGAAGGGAUUUAUGUGAGUGAAUGGUUGAUUUGCUUCCAGAUAUUCAAAGAUGAGAAGAUAGAAUACAUGAUCUAAGUGAAGUUUGAGCUCCAAAAUGCAAGUGCUUCACUGACUGUUGCAGAUCACCUUAGAGAAUUAACCAAUUCAAACAAUGUUGAGUACAAACCAGCUACCAGAAUAGGGUUCUAUAAUGUGUUCGUAAAGUGAAUAAAUUUAGAAUUUUUUUAAAGCUAGAUAACUGAUGACACAUAUGGGAUUUCAACAUAAAAUGCAUGCUUUUACAUACCCGUUUGUAGUUAUAUGUAUUCCUCCCUUCCCCGUAAGAAAGUUUAAGGUGAAGAGUUAUCAGUUCAAUCCUUACAGAUGAAAUUAAUAAAUAUUCGAUGAGAACAGUAAACCCCCUCAAGCCUUCAUGGAUUUGAUGAACUUUUAAAUUAACUCUCACACAUCCUUAAAUCAGCCAAAACUUUGCAAACAUUGUCUAAACAGAGUAGCACUUCUAAAAAGGUUCAGUUCUGAUUGUCAUAAAAGAGUAGGUUAUCUCUAUUUUCUAGAGCAUAUUCUUAAUAAUUAGCCAGAUUUUUAUACUGAAUGUGUGCUCAAAAUAUAUCCUACCAAUACCUUGACAUUUAAUUCCUCGCUGCCAAUAGAAGAUUUUCAUGAGGUCCUUUUCCACUCUCAGUCCUCUGUAAAUUAUUUUAUUGAAUGGUUGAAAUUUGUUAAUUCUGCAGCAACCUGUUUUGAAUAGUAAAAGUUAUCUUUCCACCUCAUACCAUGUAGGCUUAAAUAAACAGGAAUGACAGGAUACUGGUAAUAACAUCUACUAUGAUAAACUACGAAAUUCUUCAACAGGAAUUCCUUGUUUUCUCUUUCUUUUCAAGAAAGACUAAAGAGCCUCUGCCAAUUCCUUAACUUGGACACAAAGGUUUCAAAAACAAAAGACAGUUUUGUGGAGUCCUGACUUCACUUCAUAAAAGCCUCCUCUUACAAAGACAAUUGCAAAAGCAGUGAGCAUUUACCUUGAAGCUUGCGUAGACAACCUUGAUAGAUAGCUAAAUGGAGUGCAUCUAAUGUUCCAUUGCCUUCUCCAAAGUGUUACUAGCUCGGAGAUAAGAUGCAUUCUUUCGAGGCCUUAAGUUUUGCUCUUUGGCAUUCUCCUUAUAUUUCGAGCAACUAAGAAUGGAACCUCCAGUUCUAUAUGGCAUAUUAUUAGUAAUAAAUUUUUCUCACGACCAAUUUUGAAGAAAAUGCACGUUCUUUGGUAGGAUGAGGAAACAGAUUGUAUCAACUCUCUUGAAUGCCCUUUCAUGGGUACAACAACGACGAACCAAGCCCCUUUUUCACAUUUCUUGCAAUGAAUGAAUAAAGAAUUUUUGGCAACUAACUUAUUCUUUCUGCUUAUAACAGUAGGUUCACUGUCAUUGAACACUUAUCCUUUAUGCACAUAAAAUUUCUUAAGGAAUUAAAUAACUUAAUGCAAAGAAUAUAACACAAAAUAAACUCACCUGAACGUAAGUCUAUCCAUGAAAUCCUCCUCCUUCAUCCUUAGAAGAGAUGAUCUAGUUUCGUCACCCAGCACAGACCAGAAAUCCACUAGGGUAUCACAAGAAAGUCUGGCAGUGUGCAAAGCACAGGUUUCACGAAUUCCAUGCCCUCUGCCAUAGUUAUCCAUCCCAUGACUAAUCCAUCCCCUGCCUCCCCCACCACAUGCAUUAGGGUAAAGCAGUUCACGUUCACGUUCCCUUGCUCGGGCACUGUCAAAAACCUACACAAACCAAUAUUGCCAACCCCAAUGAUCAGAUAACUAGAACAGCCAGAUUGUUAUCGAUUCCAUAAGGUGGAGACUCUCUAUCAUUUAACUAACAAUAGUCAUGAAGCAGGAUUUGGGAGCAGCUCCAGGACAAACCAUAGGCUUCAUGGGAAAAAUUAUAUAAUUUAGCAAAAUGAUAUGAAUCAAAAGGAAGGAAUGCAUGAAACAGAAGAACUAAGUAGGACAUCAGAAAUUGAGAAGGCUUAAGAAGUGCCAAAAGUAAUAUGAAAAGAAUGGAAUGCUGCAAGAUCACCAAUACAGCUUACAACAUGAAAUUAGAGAAUAGAGGUACCUCAUAUGCUUAGGUGGAAAAAAAAACAAGAGUCAGGGUAGUGUGUUAUCGCUUACAUUCUGGAGAGUCUUCAGUGACCUUGCAUUUAUAAAGCAGUCAAGAAGUGUUAGUCUACCAUCCUUGGUUGCUGCCAGGCCUCCCCAAGGAUGCAUAGACAGAUCCUGCGCUUCAUCUAAUUUGCUAUCAUUCUGAGUCUUGGAGGUCCCUAUUUUAUUAGGAAGGUGCAUACCCACACCUUCCUGCUGCAAUGACUUCCCAUACAUGACAAUCUGUGUGAACCCAUCGUGUAGCAAACCAUUGCACCUGGAACAAUAAAGGUUCUUGCGAGCUUGCUCAAAGAGGGUGUGCUUAUCUAUCCUCAGGAGCUGCUGCCGAGCCUGACGGGGUAGCUCACUCCAUAACUAAUUCAAAUGCAUAAAAAACCCAAUCAAGAUUAGUUUUCUUCCUCAUACCGCAAUCCUUUAAACAUAGAAAAUCACAAAUACAAAUUAAAUUUUUCAGUGAAGAACAUGAACGAGAACAAAUCUCUUAAAUUACAGAAUUCUCCAUUGUUUCUUAAAUAGGACAUGAAUUAUGCCAAAACCCCAUUCUUGAAGUAAGAUUGGUACAUUAUCACGUUAAAUUCUCAGGAAGCACAUUUUUAAGUAACUGAAGAUACUUUGAAAAAAACACAGCAGGAUGAUUCCAUGAGUUUGGAAUGGCUAAAAACAGGGAAAAAACUCAAAAAAGACAAUUUAAAAGUAAAGUACAGGCUAUCUCGGCAUAAGUAUUCACUUCAACAAGUGAAAAAUGUGAUUUGACCAAAAUUCCAUCCAAAGAUGCUAAGAUGCUCGAGCUGCUGACUAGAAUCGUAACAAUGAAAAAAACUAAAGAAACUACAUGGGAACAUUAGCUUGUCCUUUCCAAGAUAUUUCGGACCGUGUCAAAAAUUAAAACAAGAAAAUAGGAUAAAACAAGGUAAACCUGUUUUAAUAUCUAAAUGUACCAUCAAUCCAGCGGCAAAUCCUAUCAAUACAAGAAAGGACCGCAACCUAGAUCUACCAAAUGAAGAACUCGAAAAUCCAAUCAAGACCGCUCAUGAAACCGAUCAAGAUCCGAUAAAAACCAAGAAAGACCCAGAAACCACGAAGAAUCCAAUCAAAAGAUCGAACGAACAGUCGCUGAUCGAUCGAGGGCGACACCUUCUGGAGCUGAUCGAUGGUGAUGUCGUCCCGGUGCUUGGACCAGAUUCCGUUGGCGGACGUGGACCCGGCAGCGGCGUGCGGCGGCGGAGCAUUGCCGAAUUCUGUGUUCCUCUGCAACAGGCCUGGCAUCUUCUCUUUCUACCCUCAGCAGCGGCUCGUCGAUCCCUCCCUUCUCGAGCUGCUAUCCAUCCACUGCGGGGGAAGAUCACCGACGUCCGGUGGCGGCGGCGAUCGGAAUCGCUAUCGGCGGCCGCCGGGUUCGGAUCGGAGGAGGGACGGGUACCGGAUUGGAGUCGGCGGCGCGAGCGAUCGGAUUCGGGGGUGAACGGGGAUUGGGGGGUUGGGGCCAGAGACGACGGGAGGAGGUGGACGAAGGAGGGUGGGGGGGUUUUGUUGGUGAGAUUUUCUCUCUCGCGCGACUCUUCUAUCGUACUAAUAUAUGAAAGACCGCCACCGUGGCGGAGGGCGCUGGGUUAAAAAGCUACGGGGGUUAUAUUCAAGCGCUGCCAUUCCUCUCUUCGCAUGUACUUGAAUGUAAAUAUUAUUUCGACGAGGAGAUCUUUAUAAGUAUGACUUAUGAGCGAGACCCUUGUACCUUUUGUAGAAGGACUGAUAUGCCAUUGUAAUUUCACGAAGAGGUGUUCUUUUUUGCAAGGAAGUUCACACGCAGCAUACCCCCGGUGAGAGAGAAAAACGAAUUCAAGCGGGAUAGUUUUGGGAUUCGCAGCGAAUCGACGCCGGUGGAGAUGGCGGAGUAUGGUUUAUUCGGUGACCGCAUCGAGGGCUCUAUGAGAAGAGAGGUUUGUGCUAGCGUGCGCCGACGGUCAAGUGGACCCAGGAAUACGCUUGAUUCUACAUGCUGGGAUCGCCGAGGUCGGUGGGGGUGCACGUUAGUCACUGCUCGUGCCGUUGGGUUCUCGCAUGAGAAAAUGUCGGCUUACAUGCGAGGGACCGCAUCACGCAACGAGCGCCGGGCAGCGGUGACGUGACGUGUCAACCAGAGAUGAAAUCUUGUGCGCGGAUAUGUUUUCUAAUGUUAUGCGAGCUAUUAGAUCGACCGUUGAUGAUUCCAUGUGAGAUAUCAACCAAUGGCUGAGAUGAGCUUAGAAAACAAAUGGACGGAUGAUCUUGUCUAUCUCAUAUUAAUUUCUAUGCAACUAGUGUGACACCGUAUCUUCCCGGCAGUAACAGAUUCUAGGAGCAUGUACAAAUGCAAUGUCAAAAAGCAUACCCACUUUUCACAACACCCGAGCUCACACCCACACACUAACGACGCGCGGGGACGAUAUGCGGCGGUUUGGAAGCGUGUGCGUCAUUGGUAUUUCUGGUGUUACAUUUGGGGAAAUGUUAGUGGGGCCCACCAUAGCGGCUCCACUACGGGGUACGUGUCUGAACAAGGAUGCAGGAAGAGAAUGCCGAAGGCCAAAAGCUAAUCCGCACCAUCUCGCAAAUGAGAUAUUUUCAGGCUUUGGAUCAUCUCAGCCGUCCAAACGAUUGGAAAUUCAGGUAAAAAAAUCAUAACCGUCCAACGGAGUAGGAAAAAAAUCUUUUAUUUGACAAAGGGACCACUUUAUGUCUACGUUCCUACGUAUUCCUCUAGAUGAAGCUUAUAAUCCAAAAAAAAAAGGUGUGGUUAUAAAUUUCCCAAAAUUUCAUUUUUUUAACCCAAAACCCCUCGAAUAUUUACACCAAACUCCCUCAAAUUACAGCAUCUGACGGUCUCGUCCAGGUCUAAAUUUGGCCAUGUAGUAGGUUAUUCAUUCGGAAGACGAAAUUAAACCCUGGACUUACCUUUUCUUCUCCUUGAUUUUCCAUCAUCAUGAAUCAACAAGUUGGACAACCUAUCUGACUUCGACGUAUCUCGGACAAGUCUGGGCUUGGAUUUUAAGCUCGAUUGACUGGUUAUAAAAUAUGAGCCCGUUUGUUGAAAUAGGACGAGCUUGGGUUUAGUUCAGCCCAGCUUGAGUCUGUUUCAGAAAAGCUUUGUCUAAGUUGAAUCUUAUAUAAUAUAUAAUGCAUACUUAUGCUUUAGUAAUCUAGUUUUGGUGACUUGAAAAAGAAAUAUAUACUAAUAGUUUUUUUUCAUGCACCGACACUCUUUAUAAACAACCAUAAACACAAGUUCAAUGAGCCUUAUGAAUCCAUUUCAAAUACUUAAUCUUUAUGAAUAUUUUUUAUAUUUUUAAACUUAAAAAAUUCUAGAAAGUCCAAAGUCCAGCGCGAAAGCCCGAAGCCGGAGUAAAUAGCCAGCUCUGGCCGACUUGGGCAUGACAAGUAGGCCCAAAAGCCAGGUCAAGCUAGGUUCGGGCUUCAUUAAUUCUAAUUUUAUCUUUGGUUGAGCACGGCCUGCCUGUUGAACAAGUCUAGUUAAAAGGUUUUGAGAAUCUCAAAGUAGGCCCUAGUAUUUUCCUACAUUUCUUCUUGUGUCUAUAUUAUGUUUUAUAUUUUAGUAGUAUGUCAUAAAUUGUUAGCAUAUGAUAAUCUGUGAUAUGAUACUGCUAACUAUGUUGCGACCCAACAUCAAAUUAUGGUAGAACUGAUUCUUGGGUAACUAAUGAAAAUAGUUUAACCUUUUUUAUUCAUUUCAAAAUUUUUAUAUAUAAAUAUUCAAAUUAGAGAUAUCAUCUAUAAUUUUUAAAUAAUUCAUAGCCACUCAACUAAUAAAUAUUAUCCUCAAUAAUAUUAAAAAACUAUUAUACCAUUCAUGGUGAUAUAUUUUGAAACUAAAAAUUAUGGUAGCUAAUUUUCCAUGAUCAUGGAUAGCCAAAUUUGAUGCUUAUCACAUUUCAUAGGUGAUUAUGCUUUGUAGACACAUCCCUUUAUAUUUAUAUGAUAUGUCUGGUCCUGGUAAUACAUACUGCAACUAAUUUGAUGAUCAUGCUCACUCAAUGGGAAUAAAUUUGAGCACAUACUUUGCUAUUCAUGAUUAGGCUAGCUUGGCUAAUAAAGGCCCUUAAUCAUAUUUUGUGUAGUAUUGCUUUAUAAAUAUUUUGUGAAGUAAAGUAUUGCCAUGUAUUUUGCAUAUAACUAAUUAACUAAUUUGUGAGGUCUCGCACUGGCAAUUUUUAGGGCCCUAGUGUACAAGAAAAAUGGUAUUGAUGGCAAAAACUCAAGACUAUUUUUAACUUGCCAAGGGGGAUUCGCGGAACAUACUCAGUAUUUGGAUGUAUUGGAAAAUCAUCACAUAUCGUGAAUUUAAACUAAUUUUGACGUUGUAAUGCAGGGUGUUUGGUUAAGCAAUGGAAUCUCAAAAUGGUCCUAAAAUUACGAAACUGAACAUAUAUAUGUUGAACAUAAUUUUUUAAAUUCAUAUUUUCUCUUUUAUCUUCAAAUUUUUCCAUUUUAAAUCUCUCCCCCCUUGACAACCGCACACUUUUCAUGAAAUCUUAAUUUAAAAUUCUAAAAAAAUAACAUUUAUGAAAAAUGAUAACAGGGAUUUUUUAAAGAUUUACAGCCUUCAUAUAUAACCCAUCUCCUAGGCUAAUUUGCACCCAUGAUUAAAGGAAGAGUGUGCACAAAGCAGUGAGCAGGGUUUUGCUUGGUAAGGUGCCUUGUGAGUGAUUAAUUAAUGAAUUCUUUCAGAUGUUGACACAAGGUAUGCACAAUAGCUAGGAAAUUUCAAUUUAGAUUGCUUAUAGAUAUACCGAGGGACGUCGUUGAAUAAUUUUUUUUUUUAUUGAGAUGCAUAAAUAUUUUCUCCUAUGCGCAGGUUUUGCUCAUGAGCAACUCGAUGUCGGCAAUAAAAAUUUACUAAUCCACUCCCUAAGUCCUCCCUUACUUUCUUUUUGGUAUUGAUAUAGCUGUUUUUUCUAUGCCCAGACUCUAGUACAAGCAUACAACUAUCAAUAGAAUAACAAUACAGCAAGCAGCUCAAACCAUGCCGAAAUGGGAAUGCAUGUAUGAGGUAUACAAGUGAUACAAAAGUAUAGCUAGUUAUAAAUUCAUGUUAUUUUGCUUUUAGUCCACAUUUCGAAUGCAAGAAUGCUAAAAAAAAUCCACCCCCUAUUUUCUAUCAACAUGUGGCAUUUUUUUAAUGAUAAAUUCUUCAAUUUGUGUGUUUUCCUCUUCACCUUAUCCAUGAUACUCUUGGUGCUUCACUUCAUUUUUCAAGAAAUUAUUACAUGCAAUGUGUGCACGGCCAUACUGAUGCACGCCACUAAUCACUGAGAUAUGCGAACGUGGAUUCCAUUUAUCGCAUGCUCAUCUUAGUAAUUAACUUACCGCAAUACACCACAAUGAUUGGCGACAUGCACUAGGCACUAGUAUAGCCGUGCAUGCAGUGCACAUAAUAAUUUUCCUAAAUUUUCAAAGUAGAAUCUAUUGUAAAUCCACCGAUUAUGAUUAGUGUUAGUGUGAGGAUCCGUACAGACGUAUGUUUAGUCCCACAUCGGUUAUUCAUGGAAGAGAUCUUGAACACUUGUACAGAAUUAAGGAGCUCAAAUAAUACUUUUUGGUUAGCUAUUUUGGGUAGCUUCCUGGAUUGUUACAAAUGGUAUCAGAACAAACUUGGCCUAUAGCCUAUGUGGACUACGGAACGCUACAACAUAGAUCAAUGGAGGUUGACCACGGGUCUAUCAUGGUGCAUGUGAUUAAAUUUGAAUGAAUUUAAAUUCUUAGCUUGACAAGGAAAGUGUUUAAAUGGGGAGAAUAUGUGAAGACUCGUGUGGGCGUGUGUUUAGUCCUAUAUGGGUUAUUCACCGAGGAAAUUUUAGGUACUCAUCAAGACUAAGAAGUUGAAAUAAUACCUUCCGGCUAGCCUUUUUAAAUGAGAUCCUAUAUUGUUACAGUUAGACACAGUUACCAUAAGAUUAUCCUAGCUUACUUUUUUAAUCUAAUUUGUCAGAUUUGUAAAUUUUCCUCGGGAAGCACAUCAUAGUAAAGCUUCCAGCCAUCAAUUAGGCAUUAUGCGAGGAACUGUGGAUAGAUUCAAAGCUUGAUUUUCCAUAGAAAUUAGUCCCUGCGAUUGCUUCGCGUUAGGCUUAAUCUUUGUUAAUGAUUUAAAUCAGCACCACUAUUUAUUGCAUCAAUACAAUAACAUCUCUCUUGAAAUCUUGCCAGGUGAACUUUGUGCCGCUCCCCGUAUGCUUGUUUAAUCAUCAGAGAAGGUCGGACCCCAAUAAAUGGCGUUUAGUUGCCUACAAUAUUGCUCACCUAUCCUUAUUAUUGUAUCUUAUGAGGUUUAUUAUGCUGGAGGAUUGGAUUUUUAUGAUCCUUUGACAUUGCAUGACUUCUAAGUACUGUCAAUCAUGACAAGAAUCGAAAAUGAAACACAUUAAGGAAAGCUUGAUCUACCCAAAAAAAAUCCAUUGAAGAGGAAAACUUCCAAUAUUCAUUCUUAAGAUGAAUGGGCUAUGCUACCAUCCGAUGAUCCGACCCUAAACAUGGAAGAUUAUGAUAAGUUGCUCGACACUAAUUGGAAUAGUUGCUUGUUUAAUCUCUGAAUCAUUCUAUAAGAUUAUGAUGACACGCUCCCAAGCUAAACCAUCAGGGAAAAGGACAAUAGCGGUGUGCAUCCAUCGUGACACCAUGAUCACCUCAAAUGGUUCACGAAAGAAAUGUAAUUAUAAGAUAAAUUUUGUUAAGCUUGCAAGCUCCAAGAACAUAUGCAUACUUUGAUCUUAUAGCAGUCUCAUGUGCAUUCUUUUUAGUUGGAGUCAUGAGCUCUUGGUAAAACUCUUUUUCUAAUUGAUGCUCUAGGUUGCUUUUGUCAACAAUAUUAUAAUUUUUAUGCAAUACUUUGUCAGGAAGCAGAGGAAAUUAACUUGGAAUCUAUGGAGAACAUGAGCUCUUGAAUCCAAAACUUAUAUCCACCAAAAUUCAUCUGAGAAAUCUUUGGUGACCCAAAAGAAUUUCUGAUGGCCUAUCAAAGCAUUCUAACCUCUCUCAUGGCUCCUCCUCGCCAACAAAACCACUGCACUGGUGAAUGUGUCCUUUAACCUGGCAAUCAAGACACUAAAACAUGGAGUGUUUCUUGGAAGGUCUGCAAGUCAAGCUGGCCAAUCAUGACUUUGUCCACCACCUGCUCUCUAAACGAUUGACUAUAACUAGCGUUCCAUAUGAUAAAAGUCAAUCUACUUUGGGUAGGUUUACUAAUCCCACCUUAUAGAAAUUUGAAGAAAAGAUUGGGAUGCGUUUCUGCAUGAGGCUUCUCCUGUUGUGAAAGUAUAGCCAAAGUAAUGUCAUCUCGCUUUCACAUUUUCAGGAUUAUCUGUUGUUGGUUUUACCAAAAAUUAUUGGAUAAAACUCACAAGUGAAGGAUACAUAUGGAUGUAAAUCUAACACUACACUUUGGUGGGAAUUUAAAUCUAAAAGCAAAAUUACAUCAAAAUUUUGCAAAUAUGAGGAAUACAUGAAAGUUGGGAGCUUAGAUAGCGCCUCUUUCCACCCACAGUAGAGAUGUUUUUAUUAGACAUGGAAUAGUCCACUUGCCCUUGUGCCAUGCACCAGACCAACUUUAACACUAGUUAGAAGGUUGAUAGAAAGGCAGCACCAGCCACAAACUCAUGGAGUUCAAACCUUUCUCUUGAAGUCUUUUCAAAAAUAAAUUAUAUAUUAAAUUACCAUAUUUAAUACAAAAAGUAUACGAGAGAAAUAUUAACACUAGUUAGAAGGUUGAUAGAAAGGCAGCACCAGCCACAAACUCAUGGAGUUCUAACCUUUCUCUUGAGGCUUGUUCAAAAAUAAAUUAUAUAUUAAAUUACCAUAUUUAAUACAAAAAGUAUACGAGAGAAAUAUUAAAAUAAAUAAUGGAUUUUAUAUUUAUUUUUCUGAAAAAUAAGAUAAAAUAAAUACCAUUAUUUCCGACAAAAGUAUCCUCAGCUAAUCUGAAAAUAUUAUUACUUGAUGGCGGGCCUUCACGUAUAAUACAUUAAUAUUAUAUUAAUUAUAUAAAUAUUAUAUUAUUUUAUUAUAACUAUAUUAAAAUAUUGAUUAAGAAUAUUUAUAUAUGAUAUAUUUAUUAAUAAUUAUUAAUUAUUAAUAAAUAAAUAAUGAAUAUUUAUUAAUCAUCAAGAUAUGUGAUAUAGAAUUUAUCAAAAUCCCAACCAAAUGAACCUUUAGUGUUUUUACCCGCGUCAACAUUCACACAGUUUCCCAAAAAAAGGGGUAAAAAUGCUCCCUUCCCUCCACCUGAGUUUUAGCGGCCGAGGAUUGCACGUGCGAACCCACACGAGCUUUGUAUUCACGUGUUGGCCUCCCAUUCCACAAGGGCCCACUCUGCGAAAUUAUAAGCAUUUUUUUAUUUUAUUUUUUUAGAAUUAAAUUUCUUUUAUAUUUCACAUUGAUUCCACGCUUUUCUCCUUGGUAUCAUAUCGAGGGUUUAAUAUCUGCCAUCUUUCCCCCUUUCUCUUCCAGCGGCUUCGCGGAAAAAAAUAUAUCCCAAAUCCUCCCCCUUUCGUCGGCGAUCGAUCGCCCAAGAAGAAGGCGGCGACUCGGAGCCGAUUCGAUCGAUUCUUCUGUACUUCAGGUUGUUCUCUUCUUGAUUAUUUUUCUUCUGAUUCUUGUGAAAAACAUGAAGAUUGAGGGUUUUUUGGCCCGAUUUGGAGCUGAUUUUGGGGGUUUUAUAGGGUUGGGAGACUGGAAUGGCGGAGAAUUUGGGACGAGAUUGAGGAGAUAAUGGUCGGAAUCCGAGGGGGGCGUCGCGAUUGCAUGGGAGAAGAAUGCCAGAACUGCGUAGCGGGACGCGUCGAGGAGGUCGUGCUCCGCCGGCGGCGGUAGAUAUCCCGGCGAGGAAGCUAAGGGUGCGGGCGGCGAAGAAGCCGGGGCCGGCCGGGGCGGGAGCGGCUGGGAUCGGGCAGCGGGUGAGGACCCGGGCGGAGGCGCGGCGACCGGCCGCAAAGUCGCGGCCAAGGGCGAGGUUGGCGAAGGGGAGGUUGGUUCUGGUGAACGAGGAGGACGGGAAGGGGGAAGAAGAGGAGAGAGUGUCGGAACAGUCGAAGGAGGUGGUGGUUGUUGAAGAGGAGGAGAUAAGAGGAGGAGGCCGAGGGAAGCGAGGAGAGGAAGGGGUAAAGGAGGAGGAGGUCGGGGGGAAGAAGGAUAUGAUGGGGGACGAUAGCGGUGGGUUGAGUGCCAAUCGGGUUGCAGCGCAGGAAGAGGAAGGGAGCACCGCACCUUUCCCGGAAAGGGUAUAUGCCUCCUUUUUUUCUCCUUUUUAUUUCUCUCUUUUAAAAACCAAAAAAUUCUGCUUGUUAAAAGUCAUUAUUGUUCGUGAUGUUUUAGUUCUUGUGAUAGAAUUCAUAGGGUCUGUUUCUAAACUUCUGAAAUCUUAGUCUGAAUUCUCACCGUAGAUGCUAGAAUAUGUAAGGAAUCUGCUUCAAGCCUAUUACUUUGGUUGCACAGUUUUCACUAGUUGAUACAAGUUUGAAUAUUACUUUAUUCGUUGUCCCCCUCCCUUCCUCCCUCCCUCUCUCUCUAUGUAAAUUCGAAGAGUGAUAUGAACUCGUUUCCCCUCUGUGUCAGAUGCACAAGUUCUAGGUUUCUAUCUUCUUCUUCUUCUUCUUCUUCUUCAAUCCUAAUAUCCCAUGUUUUCUUUUACUGUUGGUCAUGGGCUUUUUUACGUAAAAAAACUUAAAUAGAUAAUUGGAUGUACCCUGUUAGACAUAAGCAUAAACACAAUCAUAAAUAAUCUGCAUCUUGUUGACGUAGGAUUGCCUAUAUCGACCAUAGAUUGCUUUGGAAUCCAUCGAAAGCCAUUGCAGAUGACGAGUUCUAUCUGUUCCCUGCACACCUUGGGCAUCUUAAGCCAACUCUAGCAUGUGUUCAUGUUGUAUAAUUUAACAAUUAAACUUCAUCAAUCCUCUGGAGGUACCAAUUCUAACCAUCCUCGACCUACAUGUAGCUAAUGAUAGACCUUGUUUUUUGUACAUUAACCCUAAUUGCUGACGUUCAUGAGCCCCUGCGGCUUCUUCAAAUUUAAGCUAGGUAAGCAUGCUCUAGAUCAACUUAUUGUAAUCUUGUUGUUGUUAGAAUCAUCAUAUAGUUCUUGCAUGUUUCAAAUCAUGCUCUUGUAAUUAUUGUAGUAUAAAUAAUUGUGCUUCUGAUAUGAGAUUUGUGGUUAUAAUUUUUUUUGAGCCUUAUUGUUGGGUUUUGGGUCUGUGCGGUUUUUCUUUCUCCUUGUCACUGUCUUUGGAUGCUUUCCUGUUGAUUUAUUGCUUUGUGAUUUUACUUUCUUUACUUCUUGCACGCAUACACACACUACCCACCCAACCCAACCCAACCCCUGCCCUCCCCCCUAAAA